Molecule: ribosomal RNA, 253 nt
Filed under: uncultured bacterium
Lineage: Bacteria
Description: partial 16S ribosomal RNA
Rfam family: Bacterial small subunit ribosomal RNA
Source: RNAcentral
UACGUAGGGUGCAAGCGUUAAUCGGAAUUAUUGGGCGUAAAGAGCUCGUAGGCGGUUUGUCGCGUCUGCUGUGAAAAUCCGGGGCUCAACCCCGGACUUGCAGUGGGUACGGGCAGACUAGAGUGUGGUAGGGGAGACUGGAAUUCCUGGUGUAGCGGUGAAAUGCGCAGAUAUCAGGAGGAACACCGAUGGCGAAGGCAGGUCUCUGGGCCACUACUGACGCUGAGAAGCGAAAGCAUGGGGAGCGAACAGG